GGACCAAGGAGUCUAGCAUGUGCGCGAGUCAUUGGGACUAUCGAAUCCUAAAGGCGUAAUGAAAGUGAAGGCAGAGCCUGGCUCGGCCGAGGGAAGAUGGGUGACAUUUGUCGCCUCGCACUCCCGGGGCGUCUCGUUCUCAUUGCGAGAAGAGGCGCACCUAGAGCGUACACGCUGGGACCC
Molecule: ribosomal RNA, 183 nt
Filed under: Atheta sp. 1 BT-2011
Lineage: Eukaryota; Metazoa; Arthropoda; Insecta; Coleoptera; Staphylinidae
Also listed under: 1 other name
Description: partial 28S ribosomal RNA
Rfam family: Eukaryotic large subunit ribosomal RNA
Source: RNAcentral